RNAcentral lists this long non-coding RNA (2402 nucleotides) under Jatropha curcas. Its description in RNAcentral is "long non-coding RNA (JCUR_LNC001920)". The record is from RNAcentral. Lineage: Eukaryota; Viridiplantae; Streptophyta; Magnoliopsida; Malpighiales; Euphorbiaceae.
AGAAAGUAAUAUUUGUUUCACUAAUGUCAUGUUGAGAACUAGAUAAAAAUAACCAAAAAUACUAGCAGCAUUUCCCAUUACAUCACUGCAUAGCAGAGAAAGAAAUCCGCCUAUGGCUAACUUGACAUACUCCUGCAAAACAUAUAUAUAUAUAUAUAUAUACACACACACACACACUGCUCAAAUUCAAAGCAGUUAAAUAAAACAGAUAGAUAGCUGCAAAUUCUACAAACCCCUAAUACCAGGAACAUCAAUCCACUGCAACUGGAGCUCUACUUCACCACACUCCACAUUUCGCAAUCGAAGAAUAAUAUUUUGAAUCACUUUCCCCUCAACCCAGAUAAUCUGGCUUUCAUCAGCAAGGCAAUUUUGUCUGUUCGGUUGAAUUCUAGUUAUUAUGGUUCCGCUUGGAAGGUCUUCGAGUCGCAUCUUCACAGCUUCAAGAAAUGGACGGAUAUCAAACUCUGCAUCUCCCAUUUUGUCAUCUCUGCUGAAUGUGUCUUUGUCGUAAACAACCUGUAUUUUCAAAUAAAGAAGCAAUGGAAUUCAGGCAGCAAGCAAAUAUAACUAUAACAUAAUAAACCUAUUCUGUAGUAAACCAAAAAUAACGGAUAAGCUUUAACUCAAUUGUACUAGUGUCACAAACACCCUGCAUUUUCAAAAAGAGGCACUUUCAUUUUAAUUAUAUAUGAAUUCAGUUCAGGGAACAGCAAAUUUCACAGUUAAUCGUUCACCAAGAGAUUUUCCCGCAUAACUAAAACAAAACAAAUUUUGUUCUUUGCGUGCAGUUACAAGGUUGUGUCUCAUUUCUCAAGUUAGCCUAGGCUGUAAACAGUUGAUCUCAACAGAGAUCGAGCUCAGCUUGUUAGAGGUUUACUCAAGCUUGAACUCAGGACAUUUACUAUUUGAAGUUUUAAAAAAAAUUGUAGCUCAUUUACAAGCUCAAACUCGAAUUCAAGCUCGGCUCUUUAAACUGUUUUUCCUGAGCUGAGCCUCUAGCAACUGAUGGGAGCUUGGCUCAUUUACAGUCCUAGUUAGCAAUAGACAGUUAAAUUAAUUGAAUUUGAGAAGCCGAAAGGGUUAAAUUUGACUCUAAUUAAAAAUAAAAGGCUUAGUUCACUUUCAGCUGAAAUUUUAGGGGCUAAUUAGAGCUUUUGGCCAAAAUUCCUUCAUGAUUAUUCUAUUUAUAGCAAGCUAAACUGAAGAUUUAAUAAUGUAUAUAUGUACAUAAAAAUUCAUUUCUUCUUUGCCAAGAUUUUCUAUUCUUGUUUUUAACACUUUGAUUGGUAGAAUCUAUCCAUCUAGGUCAAGAUUAGCAAAAGAUUGAGGAUAUGAAUUACUUACGAGCUAAACACACAAACAAAUCUAUCAAAACUAAGACAUGAUCAAAUGAAUUGUAAUACUUACAAUCUUGAUUGGAAGAUUUGGAUUCUCAAUUGAGAGAGUCAAAUCCUCAUUCCACUCAGGAUUGACAUUUUGCUUCACCACUCGAGUCUUCAAUUUCUGCAAAAACAAUAUAUAUAUAUAUAUAUAUAUCAAUCAAUAAACUAAUACUUGUUAAGCAAUUAGUGGUGGAAAUGUUAGCUAAAGGAAAAGUACACAUAAAAAAUAUGGAAAAACACCUUAAUUUGAUUUGACUUGACAAAUAAAUAAAUAACUUUUAUGAGACUGAUAAUAAUUGAAAAACGGACCGACAAUUUAAUACAACUUUUAGCAGCAAUCAAAUUUAUUCUCUCAAUUAAUUUAUUUUCUAAUAUGAAUUUCACUCUCCUAGUCUCAGAUUUUAGUUUCUUUUUUUCUUUUUGGGUCACUCUGUGAAUAGUUUUUCAUUAUCUUAAUUGAAAGUAAAGAAAUGAAUAAUCUUUGAAAAGUAUUUUUCUUUUUCUAAUAAAAGGGAGGAAAUUAACCGAAUAAACACUUAAACAUGAACAGUUCUUGGCAAAAGAGUCCCAACCAGGAAAUUAUAUUUAAACACAAAUUAUUUUACUAUUAGAAAGUAAUAUUUGUUUCACUAAUGUCAUGUUGAGAACUAGAUAAAAAUAACCAAAAAUACUAGCAGCAUUUCCCAUUACAUCACUGCAUAGCAGAGAAAGAAAUCCGCCUAUGGCUAACUUGACAUACUCCUGCAAAACAUAUAUAUAUAUAUAUAUAUACACACACACACACACUGCUCAAAUUCAAAGCAGUUAAAUAAAACAGAUAGAUAGCUGCAAAUUCUACAAACCCCUAAUACCAGGAACAUCAAUCCACUGCAACUGGAGCUCUACUUCACCACACUCCACAUUUCGCAAUCGAAGAAUAAUAUUUUGAAUCACUUUCCCCUCAACCCAGAUAAUCUGGCUUUCAUCAGCAAGGCAAUUUUGUCUGUUCGGUUGAAUUCUAGUUAUUAUGGUUCCGCUUGG